GAACGCAUCUUGCGCUCCUUGGUAUUCCGAAGAGCAUGCUUGUUUGAGUAUCAGUAAACACCUCAAAGCUUUUGAUUUUUUUUAAAAAAAAAAAAAGUUUUGGACUUGAGCAAUCCCAACACCAAUCUUUUUUAGAUCGGCGGCGGGUUGCUUGAAAUGCAGGUGCAGCUGGACAUUCUCCUGAGCUAAAAGCAUAUUUAUUUAGUCCCGUCAAACGGAUUAUUACUUUUGCUGCAGCUAAUAUAAAGGGAGUUUGACCGUAUUGGCUGACUGAUGCAGGAUUUCACAAGGGUCGGCAACGAUUCUUGUAAAACUCGAUCUCAAAUCAAGUAAGACUACCCGCUGAACUUAAG
RNAcentral lists this unclassified non-coding RNA (353 nucleotides) under uncultured Mortierella. RNAcentral describes it as "sequence contains 5.8S rRNA gene". The record is from RNAcentral. Lineage: Eukaryota; Fungi; Mortierellomycota; Mortierellomycetes; Mortierellales; Mortierellaceae.